CUUUAUGAGAAUUAAUCGUUUUUCUUUUAUACAAAAUAAGUAGUUAUUUGCCUGAAGUGGUUCUGAUUUUGAGCAGUUAAUGAUGACCUCUUGACCGAUGAGAACGAACAGAGGAAAGCUUGAAAAUGUUAAAUCAUGAUACAAUUUCAAAUUUCAAAGCUAUGGAAUUAUUUUGAAUCGAAUUGGAAACAUACCAGCGACUGAGGCACAAUUUUCUGAGUGGUCAUCAUCACCAUGGAUCAAUCACUCUCGAUAACACUUUAAAUAGCAUCCCCCGUAGCACUCGCGACGAUAUCGGUGGAUUUUAGAAACCACUGACAUCUGCGUUCCUUCACUUUGCCAGCUUUUAUAUACCCCAUACUAGCUGUAUGCAAGGACGAUGCUUUUUUCCCCCCUCUCUAAUCAUUGAUUGUCAUAGAAGUCGCGAAGAUCACAAAUCUUGUGUUCAUUCUUUGAAUAAUCUCGUGUUUAGGUCUCUUAUUUUUUUUUUUUUU
Long non-coding RNA from Apis florea (little honeybee), 494 nucleotides. NCBI's taxonomy places the organism in Eukaryota, Metazoa, Arthropoda, Insecta, Hymenoptera, Apidae. The record is from RefSeq and is a predicted model, not a curated record.